RNAcentral lists this ribosomal RNA (485 nucleotides) under Bacillus licheniformis. Its description in RNAcentral is "bacterial SSU rRNA". It matches the Rfam family "Bacterial small subunit ribosomal RNA", at positions 16 to 482 of the family's 1533-position model. Lineage: Bacteria; Bacillati; Bacillota; Bacilli; Caryophanales; Bacillaceae. The record is from RNAcentral.
AUCCUGGCUCAGGACGAACGCUGGCGGGGGGCGGGAUACAUGCAAGUCGAGCGGACAGAUGGGAGCUUGCUCCCUGAUGUUAGCGGCGGACGGGUGAGUAACACGUGGGUAACCUGCCUGUAAGACUGGGAUAACUCCGGGAAACCGGGGCUAAUACCGGAUGCUUGAUUGAACCGCAUGGUUCAAUUAUAAAAGGUGGCUUUUAGCUACCACUUACAGAUGGACCCGCGGCGCAUUAGCUAGUUGGUGAGGUAACGGCUCACCAAGGCGACGAUGCGUAGCCGACCUGAGAGGGUGAUCGGCCACACUGGGACUGAGACACGGCCCAGACUCCUACGGGAGGCAGCAGUAGGGAAUCUUCCGCAAUGGACGAAAGUCUGACGGAGCAACGCCGCGUGAGUGAUGAAGGUUUUCGGAUCGUAAAACUCUGUUGUUAGGGAAGAACAAGUACCGUUCGAAUAGGGCGGUACCUUGACGGUACCUAA